AGCCAGUACACGAUGUCCCUCAAUCACCUCGCAGAUCUAGUAGGGUCUCCCAUCCUCCCGAUAGAUACUUAGGUAUACUAGAAGAGGAUACCGAGGAAAUGUUCCUAGUGGAAGAUAGGGAUCACAUACAAGAUCCCAAAACCUAUGACGAGGCGAUAUCUGAUAUCGAUUCCGAGAAAUAAUUGGAGUUAGACUCCAUGCAUUCCAACCAAGUCUGGA
RNAcentral lists this long non-coding RNA (219 nucleotides) under Phoenix dactylifera (date palm). Its description in RNAcentral is "long non-coding RNA (PDAC_LNC020856)". Lineage: Eukaryota; Viridiplantae; Streptophyta; Magnoliopsida; Arecales; Arecaceae. The record is from RNAcentral.